RNAcentral lists this ribosomal RNA (430 nucleotides) under Verrucomicrobiota bacterium. RNAcentral's name for it is "Verrucomicrobia bacterium partial 16S ribosomal RNA". It matches the Rfam family "Bacterial small subunit ribosomal RNA", at positions 355 to 776 of the family's 1533-position model. The record is from RNAcentral. Lineage: Bacteria; Pseudomonadati; Verrucomicrobiota.
UGGGGAAUCUUCCGCAAUGGACGAAAGUCUGACGGAGCAACGCCGCGUGAGUGAUGACGGUCUUCGGAUUGUAAAGCUCUGUUAAUCGGGACGAAUGGUUUGUGUGCAAAUAGUGCAUAGACAUGACGGUACCGGAAUAGAAAGCCACGGCUAACUACGUGCCAGCAGCCGCGGUAAUACGUAUGUUGCGAGCGUUAUCCGGAAUUAUUGGGCUUAAAGGGCAUCUAGGCGGUAAGACAAGUUGAAGGUGAAAACCUGUGGCUCAACCAUAGGCUUGCCUACAAAACUGUUGAACUAGAGUACUGGAAAGGUGGGUGGAACUACACGAGUAGAGGUGAAAUUCGUAGAUAUGUGUAGGAAUGCCGAUGAUGAAGAUAACUCACUGGACAGAAACUGACGCUGAAGUGCGAAAGCUAGGGGAGCAAACAGG